GAAGCGCGGACGCCAGUCCGCGUGGAGCCAUCCUUGAAAUACCACCCUUUAACGUUUGAUGUUCUAACGUGGGCCCGUCAUCCGGGCUGCGGACAGUGUCUGGUGGGUAGUUUGACUGGGGCGGUCUCCUCCCAAAGCGUAACGGAGGAGCACGAAGGUUGGCUAAUCCUGGUCGGACAUCAGGAGGUUAGUGCAAUGGCAUAAGC
Molecule: ribosomal RNA, 206 nt
Filed under: Pantoea sp. Acro-807
Lineage: Bacteria; Pseudomonadati; Pseudomonadota; Gammaproteobacteria; Enterobacterales; Erwiniaceae
Description: partial 23S ribosomal RNA
Rfam family: Bacterial large subunit ribosomal RNA
Source: RNAcentral